This 394-nucleotide ribosomal RNA is filed under the name Chryseobacterium sp. VC15. RNAcentral's name for it is "bacterial SSU rRNA". It matches the Rfam family "Bacterial small subunit ribosomal RNA", at positions 970 to 1370 of the family's 1533-position model. Lineage: Bacteria; Pseudomonadati; Bacteroidota; Flavobacteriia; Flavobacteriales; Weeksellaceae. The record is from RNAcentral.
CUUACCAAGGCUUAAAUGGGAAAUGACAGGAGAUGAAAUAGACUUUUCUUGAGACAUUAGUCAAGUGGUCCCAGGGUUUUCUCCAGCUCGGUUCUGGAGGGGUUGGGUUAAUUCCGCCACGGAGCCCAACCCUUGUCACUAGUUGCAGCCAUUAAGUUGGGGACUCUAGGGAGACUGCCAGUGCAAAUAGGGAGGAAGGUGGGGAUGACGUCAAGUCAUCAUGGCCCUUACGCGUAGGGCCACACACGUAAUACAAUGGCAGGUACAAAGGGCAGCGACCUUGCGAGAGCAAGCAAAUCUCGAAAACCGGUUUCAAGUCGGGAUGGGAUUUGCAACUUGGACCUCUGAAACUGGGAAAGGUAGUAAAUCGCGUCAACCAUGGCGCGGGAAUACG